Molecule: long non-coding RNA, 360 nt
Organism: Mus musculus (house mouse)
Lineage: Eukaryota; Metazoa; Chordata; Mammalia; Rodentia; Muridae
Product: predicted gene, 30162
Exons: 3
Source: RefSeq, a predicted model, not a curated record
CUCGAGCUUUAAGGUGAAGGAAUACUACUUCCUCCUUGCCUCUUUCCACAAACUAUCUUUUUGGGGAAGAGAAGGCCCACAUGACCUGAGAACAUGAGACUGCCCAUUGGGCCAUUUGGAAGACGUUCUGAACUCUGAGGAGCUUUUUGCUCAAAAUAUUGAAACAAACUCACAGGAGGUCAGCACUUACUGGUUGCAUUCAAUAUUUAUUGGACUUCUGGGUGUAAGUGAAUUGUGCACAAAAUAUCAUGCUGAUGUAGUUGCAUUUGCUACUGUUUGGUUUCAUCUUUCAAAAUAAGUACCAUGCUUCUCUUGCAUUUGGAGAGCUUUGCCAUCCAGAAGUCUUCUACUGUAACAGAC